RNAcentral lists this ribosomal RNA (354 nucleotides) under Eukaryota sp. RNAcentral's name for it is "SSU rRNA". It matches the Rfam family "Eukaryotic small subunit ribosomal RNA", at positions 1325 to 1699 of the family's 1831-position model. The record is from RNAcentral.
UCGUUAACGAACGAGACCUCGACCUACUAAAUAGUUUGCCGAACCCUUUGGGUUCGUGUACGCUUCUUAGAGGGACUAUCGGUUCGUAGCCGAUGGAAGUUCGAGGCAAUAACAGGUCUGUGAUGCCCUUAGAUGUUCUGGGCCGCACGCGCGCUACACUGAUACGUUCAUCGAGUUUACAACCUUAACCGAUAGGUUUGGGUAAUCUUUUAAAGCGUAUCGUGAUGGGGAUAGAUUAUUGUAAUUUUUAAUCUUCAACGAGGAAUUCCUAGUAAUCGCGCGUCAUUAACGCGCAAUGAUUACGUCCCUGCCCUUUGUACACACCGCCCGUCGCUAAUACCGAUUGAAUGGUUA